GGACAAUGAAUGGGCCACUUCGGAGUUAUGAUUCCAAAUGUACUGGCAAAGCUAUCAACUUGUGGCUAAAUGGUACCAAGCUAGAAAUGAGUAAUAUUGGUUCGCCUUACGAUCUUUAUAUUGGAUGGCUGUAUUCUGGUGAUAUCCGGACGCCAUAGAGGAGGAUGAAAAUGUUCCGGGCGACUUUGAUUCCGAUGGACUUCCAGAUCAUGAAAUGUCUCGCGACUCACGAAAUUUUGCUGGUUUACGCUUUCUGGUUGUCAAUGUAUGUGGACAUCAAUAGGGCAUAUUAGGCGUAUUGGGGCAUCAAUUAUCACCAGCUUAUCAUCGAAGGCUUGCGAUACAUUAAAAUAGAUGAGGGAAUGGUUUUUUGAGCGAGGUCUAACGAGACUGACCCUUACAAAACAGAGAAACAG
Molecule: small RNA, 416 nt
Filed under: Histoplasma capsulatum var. duboisii H88
Lineage: Eukaryota; Fungi; Ascomycota; Eurotiomycetes; Onygenales; Ajellomycetaceae
Description: Histoplasma capsulatum H88 hypothetical RNA
Source: RNAcentral